RNAcentral lists this ribosomal RNA (251 nucleotides) under uncultured bacterium. RNAcentral describes it as "partial small subunit ribosomal RNA". It matches the Rfam family "Bacterial small subunit ribosomal RNA", at positions 26 to 287 of the family's 1533-position model. The record is from RNAcentral.
AGGAUAAACGCUGGCGGCGUGCCUAAUCAAUGCGAGUCGAACGGGCACCUUCGGGUGUCAGUGGCGUCCGGGUGAGUAACGCGUAGCUAACCUGCCCACAGGUGGGGGAUACCCGCCAGAAAUGGCGGCUAAUACCGCAUAGCGUGACGAGGGGGUGACCUUCGGCACGAAAGCCGCAAGGUGUCUGUGGAGGGGCUGCGUCCGAUUAGCUGGUCGGUGGGUAACGGCCUACCGAGGCGACGAUCGGUAGC